Molecule: ribosomal RNA, 253 nt
Filed under: uncultured bacterium
Lineage: Bacteria
Description: partial 16S ribosomal RNA
Rfam family: Bacterial small subunit ribosomal RNA
Source: RNAcentral
UACGUAGGGUGCAAACGUUGUUCGGAAUCACUGGGCAUAAAGAGCGCGUAGGCGGUCUAAUAAGUCCUGUGUGAAAGCCCCCGGCUCAACCGGGGAAUUGCACAGGAUACUGUUGGGCUAGAGUACAGGAGGGGAGAGCGGAAUUCCUGGUGGAGCGGUGAAAUGCGUAGAUAUCAGGAGGAACGCCAGUGGCGAAAGCGGCUCUCUGGUCUGUUACUGACGCUGAGGUGCGAAAGCUAGGGGAGCAAACGGG